CCCUUAGAUGUUCUGGACCGCACGCGCGCUACACUGAUGCAUUCAACAAGCCUAGCCUUGACCGAGAGGUCCGGGUAAUCUUUGAAACUGCAUCGUGAUGGGGCUAGAUUAUUGCAAUUAUUAAUCUUCAACGAGGAAUGCCUAGUAAGCGUGAUUCAUCAAAUCGCGUUGAUUACGUCCCUGCCCUUUGUACACACCGCCCGUCGCUCCUACCGAUUGAAUGUGUUGGUGAGGAGCUCGGAUUGGCAGCAGUUGGUGGUUCGCCACCGGCUAUUGCUGAGAAGUCCUCCAAACCGCCCCAUUUAGAGGAAGGAGAAGUCGUAACA
RNAcentral lists this ribosomal RNA (326 nucleotides) under uncultured eukaryote. RNAcentral's name for it is "partial 18S ribosomal RNA". It matches the Rfam family "Eukaryotic small subunit ribosomal RNA", at positions 1470 to 1796 of the family's 1831-position model. The record is from RNAcentral.